Molecule: ribosomal RNA, 120 nt
Filed under: Labrus bergylta (ballan wrasse)
Lineage: Eukaryota; Metazoa; Chordata; Actinopteri; Labriformes; Labridae
Source: RNAcentral
GCUUACGGCCAUACCACCCUGAACACCGCCCGAUCUCGUCCGAUCUCGGAAGCUAAGCAGGGUCGGGCCUGGUUAGUACUUGGAUGGGAGACCGCCUGGGAAUACCAGGUGCUGUAAGCU